This 395-nucleotide long non-coding RNA is filed under the name Helianthus annuus (common sunflower). Its description in RNAcentral is "hypothetical non coding rna". Lineage: Eukaryota; Viridiplantae; Streptophyta; Magnoliopsida; Asterales; Asteraceae. The record is from RNAcentral.
GGGACAUGGACUUCUUUCAGACACCAUGUUUCAUAUAUGGCACUCAGGAGGAAUCGUGUGAGAACCAGACAACUGCAUGACGAUGAAUCAAGCCAUGCAUGAGCUUAUCUUCCACUCCAAGCGUUUUACCUAAUAGUCAACCAAUAAACUUGUCCAUAUGCCAAGAAGGGUUUUCCGAUCCACAGGCACUAUAGUGUACUUGAUGAAAUUAACCAUUUUACCCUCACCAUAAGAAGCUUAAAAGCUAGAGAGAAACUUGGGUUCAGUCCGUUAUCUCCCAAAAUUUGUUUUAUCAAAAAAGGUUAUUAUUCACGCUAAGGUUGGCCUAAUGUAUUUUCUUGUAAAAAGUUGUGUAUUGAGAUAUAUCAAGCCAUAUGUGUAUGUUUGUUGAACUU